CGGACCCGGACAGGACUGAUGGCCUCAGAGAGGUCAAGGGCUCGGGACUGGAGAAGCAGCCAACUGGAGCUGAUAUUCGGGAAGCUAAGCCUGAGGCUGCUCUGGAGGGCCGGAGAAGCGAGCGGCCAGGCUUGGCACCCGCCAAAUGUGCCUUGCCAAAAUGAAGAGGAAGGAAGGCGACUCCGGAGCCCAGCAGGGCUGCGCUUUUGGCCUGAAUUUUCAGUGACAAAUAGAAAAGCUGAAUGGAUGGAGACAAUGACUCUUUAAUUCAAUGUAAGAGCUGACUCAUCGCUUCCCAGGAAGACUUGUUGCAGGUAGGUGAUGGUUAUCCUGGAACUGGAGAUUAUCCCAGUCCUUUGUUGCACUGGCAAU
Molecule: long non-coding RNA, 372 nt
Filed under: Homo sapiens (human)
Lineage: Eukaryota; Metazoa; Chordata; Mammalia; Primates; Hominidae
Description: HSALNT0224183
Source: RNAcentral